CACGUAGUUAGCCGUGGCUUUCUGGUUAGGUACCGUCAAGGUACCAGCAGUUACUCUGGUACUUGUCCUUCCCUAACAACAGAACUUUACGACCCGAAAGCCUUCAUCGUUCACGCGGCGUUGCUCCGUCAGACUUUCGUCCAUUGCGGAAGAUUCCCUACUGCUGCCUCCCGUAGGAGUCUGGGCCGUGUCUCAGUCCCAGUGUGGCCGAUCACCCUCUCAGGUCGGCUACGCAUCGUCGCCUUGGUGGGCCAUUACCCCACCAACUAGCUAAUGCGCCGCGGGCCCAUCUGUAAGUGAUAGCCAAAACCAUCUUUCCAUCUUCUCUCAUGCGAGAGAAGAACGUAUCCGGUAAUUAGCUCCGGUUUCCCGAAGUUAUCCCAGUCUUACAGGCAGGUUGCCCACGUGUUACCUCACCCGUCCGCCGCUGACUUCAGGGAGCAAGCUCCAUCCGUCCGCUCGACUUGCAUGUAUUAGGCACGCCGCCAGCCGUUCGUCUGACGCAGGACUACUAA
RNAcentral lists this ribosomal RNA (515 nucleotides) under uncultured Bacillaceae bacterium. RNAcentral's name for it is "partial 16S ribosomal RNA". Lineage: Bacteria; Bacillati; Bacillota; Bacilli; Caryophanales; Bacillaceae. The record is from RNAcentral.